AGGCAAGGGCACCUCUGGGCAAGCAUGGUCUUUGGUGUGCUGCCAAGCUGACUGUCCUGAGUGUGACAAAGCAAGGGAGGGGCCCAGGGGGCCCCAGUCAAUGAGAAACAGAUCUGCCCUAAAAAUAACAGUGAAUGAACAGGCUUGCUUACACUGUCUUGCUUCAGAGCUGGUUUGGCACAAAAUCAGACCUAAUGAUAGGUUCAGAAGGAAAAAUUCAUGGUUGGGAUUUGGAAUCCUUUGAGCCAACCAGUUAUCCACAAACAAGUCCACAGCUCUUCCUCUGGGUUUCCCAGAAGGCCUUCCAGGACAGGUCUCUUGUCAUCAUGGAGGACUCCACAGUCCUAUCUGGAGUCGCCUACUCCGGAGUGGAGAGAUGGAGAAGACUAAUCUUCAUAAAAUCAACCAACAGCAGCAGUGAUGGCUGAUGACAGCAUGAAGAAGAAUUCUUCCUGUUGGAGCCAUUGAUCAUCUAUUCCCAUGACCAAUUGUGUGUUCCUAUUACUGUAACAAAAUACCUGAAGCUGGGUACUUAUAAGAAAAGAGAUGAGGUCAUCCAAAUAUCUCUGGAGCCAGCUGCCACCAGUCAGAGCUUUGGAUGUCUGCUUUGCAAUCCCUGCUGACCCACCACACUCAUUCACUUGGAAAGUCCCGCCUCUGGCAAAGAGCUGCCCUUGAAGUAGGUACUUCAAAGGGGCCACGGGCUACUGGAAAGCCUUCAGAUCUCUUAUCUGAGGAGCAGUAAAUGCAGUGAGACCACAAGCCUUUGGAGUUUCUGAAGACACCACAUGAAGUUAACAGAUUGAGCUAAUGAACCCAAGAGGAAGAAGGAACACGUGAACUGGAAAUAUUCAGCUGAAAUGAAUUGGUAUUUCAAAGCACAAAGCUCCUGGGAGAUGCUCUUCUGAACAGGAGGA
Mus caroli (Ryukyu mouse) is the source of this 917-nucleotide non-coding RNA. NCBI's taxonomy places the organism in Eukaryota, Metazoa, Chordata, Mammalia, Rodentia, Muridae. The record is from RefSeq and is a predicted model, not a curated record.